CAAAGGUUUGGUCCUGGCCUUCCUAUUAGUUAUUAACAGAAUUACACAUGCAAGCCUCCACAUCCCGGUGAAGAUGCCCUCUAAAUCUAUUAAACGAUUAAAAGGAGCGGGCAUCAGGCACACUAAAUAAGUAGCCCAUAACGCCUUGCUCAACCACACCCCCACGGGAUACAGCAGUGAUAAAAAUUAAGCCAUGAACGAAAGUUUGACUAAGCCAUGUUAAUAUUAAGAGUUGGUAAAUUUCGUGCCAGCCACCGCGGUCAUACGAUUAACCCAAAUUAAUAGGCUCACGGCGUAAAACGUGCUAAGGAUUACAAAACACUAAAGUUAAAAUUUAACCAGGCCGUAAAAAGCUACUGUUAAUAUAAAAUAUACCACGAAAGUGACUUUAUCAUCUCCAACAACACGAUAGCUGGGACCCAAACUGGGAUUAGAUACCCCACUAUGCCCAGCCCUAAACACAAACAAUUUACACAACAAAAU
This 483-nucleotide ribosomal RNA is filed under the name Martes martes (European pine marten). Its description in RNAcentral is "partial 12S ribosomal RNA". The record is from RNAcentral. Lineage: Eukaryota; Metazoa; Chordata; Mammalia; Carnivora; Mustelidae.